AGGGCUCUAAACACAAGAUGGGUGUUCAGAAAAAAGCUUGGAGUUCACAGCAUCUAAACAAGGAGGAGUGUUAAAGAUCAUGUUAUUUGUUUAGAUUGUUGUCAGUUAGUAUCUAAUUAAAUCUCUGUUAGGAGUUAGAUUUAGUUUUGAUUUGAUUAGAUUUUGUUUUGAUUUGAUUUAUUUAUUGGUUUGUUACCAGAUUUUCUGCAG
Molecule: long non-coding RNA, 210 nt
Organism: Cucurbita maxima (winter squash)
Lineage: Eukaryota; Viridiplantae; Streptophyta; Magnoliopsida; Cucurbitales; Cucurbitaceae
Exons: 3
Source: RefSeq, a predicted model, not a curated record